GAUCAUGGCUCAGGAUGAACGCUAGCGACAGGCCUAACACAUGCAAGUCGAGGGGCAGCGGAUAGGUAGCAAUACCUUUGCCGGCGACCGGCGCACGGGUGAGUAACACGUAUGCAAUCCACCUGUAACAGGGGGAUAACCCGGAGAAAUCCGGACUAAUACCCCAUAAUAUGGGCGCUCCGCAUGGAUAGCCCAUUAAAGAGAGCAAUUUUGGUUACAGACGAGCAUGCGCU
RNAcentral lists this ribosomal RNA (233 nucleotides) under uncultured bacterium. RNAcentral's name for it is "partial 16S ribosomal RNA". It matches the Rfam family "Bacterial small subunit ribosomal RNA", at positions 15 to 237 of the family's 1533-position model. The record is from RNAcentral.